Molecule: long non-coding RNA, 336 nt
Organism: Asparagus officinalis (garden asparagus)
Lineage: Eukaryota; Viridiplantae; Streptophyta; Magnoliopsida; Asparagales; Asparagaceae
Exons: 2
Source: RefSeq, a predicted model, not a curated record
ACCCGGUGGCACGUCUUAACCUAAUGCUACUCCGACGCAACAUCAGAACACUCCCACCCGGUGCUCGGUUGUGAUGGCAACAGCAGUUUUACUUAGCGCUCGCAAUCUGGGGCCCACAUCCCACGCAACCCAAUGGCAGCGACCAUUCAUUGAUCGACCACGUAUGUGUGCAUGUCACGUCAACGUAGAUCGCUGAUGUGACAGCUAUAAAUACGGGCGACCUCCUGCCCUGCCCCUGGCCUAUUCCGCCACUAUUCCACACACCUCCGUCCUCUCUCUCGCACUAUCAGCGGCAGCAGUGAUCGCGAUCUUCUCCAGCCUUUUCCGCUUUCCUCC